CCAGCCCUGACCCUUAGGUCUUAGGAAGAACACUCAGCCAUUAGACCUCAGGCCCCAUGCCCUGACCCCAGGCAGAAAGCCAUGUCCUGCAUCCAGGGAUCCAGAAGAGUCCAAAGAACAUAGAAGGAAUGCUGAUCACAGCUCCGGAUCUAGAGGAACAAUGACUAUAAUUAGCUUCAUCUGCCCGUCAAGCAAGGAAUGUCUCUGAAGCCAUGUGCUGAUGACCAGGCAGAGAGGCUGGCAGAGAGCUGGGAUGGAAGUGCUGUCACUGUCACUGGCCAAUGACAAGACCCAAGAGAGGAGUGGUUGCAUAGCACAUCUGGGCAGGCCAGACCACUGGCGGGCGUCCCUGCCAAAUUCCACAGCCACCUCACACCUCCAGGAGCCUCAGAAGACUCCCAGGCCAGAAGGACCAUCCGGGGAGGAACAGCGCAAUUCUCAGUGCAGCCUUCAUGGACUGGCAGGCCCGAUACUCCGCCGAGGAGAGAAUGUGCAACCCAGAAAUUUUAAAGGCCGCUGAGUAUUCUAUCCUCUCCAAGAACAAAAUAGGAAUGACAUUUGACCUGUUGUCACUGCCCACAUGAAUAGAACGUUGUGCUUUAAAGAAUAGAAGAUGGGAAGACCAUGACUCUCACUCCCCUAACAGAAAACAGAAUUCAUAAAACCUCGCGACAGAGACUUUAAUGGCAACCUGUCCCAGGAGUCCCCAGGAGUCCCAAGGAGUCCUCAAACCUGUGUGUCCAUUAGAAUCAGCUGCAGAGUCUAUCUGAAAUGCCACUGAGCCAUCCCAGAAAUGAUGAACCAUCUCUAAUAAGACCCAGGCAUCCGGAUUUUGAACAUCUGUUUUCCAAGUGAUUCUGAUGGACAGCCUUAUUUGGGCACCUCUCUUUCAAAUCAGAAUGCCUACAACAUUGCAACCAAGGGGUCCCAUGGUCUUUGCUGAAACGCCUCUCGUGAGAGCGAGCCGACCCACUCUGUCCCCGGAUGAAGCUAGCUGUUGGGAAACCAGCCUCCAUGGAAUACCCAACCACUCGCCCUGCAAUGACAGGUGAACUGCACACAUAAACUGUACUUAUGAAGCGGUAGAUUAUUAUCACCUUCACUCAAGAAACCAUAAAAAGAAAGAUCUACACCAAGAUUCCUAUUUCGGGCUAUAAAAAAAUAAGGGUACAUCCUAAACGUUAUUUUUAAUCACAAGUGGUUUGGUACUAAAUUAGAUUAGUAUAUUAGUGCAUAAAUUAGAUAGUGCUAAUCUUAUGAGCUGGACUAAAUCCAGUUUUAGAACAAACCUCUCACUCUCUGUGGUGGAAGUGUCAGUGAUUAAGAACACAGCGCAAAGAAUACGAGUCUUUAAACCCUACCUGGGUUGGAUCCUGGAUCUCCCAUUUACUGUUUUGAGCGGCCUUGGGCAUAAUAUUUAAC
Molecule: long non-coding RNA, 1422 nt
Filed under: Equus asinus (donkey)
Lineage: Eukaryota; Metazoa; Chordata; Mammalia; Perissodactyla; Equidae
Description: lncRNA (ENSEASG00005030118.1)
Source: RNAcentral